GUUUUAACCAUCACUUUUAUUAUUUUAUGACAUAGAUCUGGUAUUGGGUACCUCGAGCUCCAUUGUCUCAGCACUUAAUGGGUUGCAAGCCAUUAGCAGAGUUUGAUUUUCUUGUGGCAGUCUUGUUACCACAACCCAGUCUUACCCCAGCCAUUGUCUUGCACUUUUUUCCAAGAGACACUGUUCAAG
Molecule: long non-coding RNA, 189 nt
Organism: Gavialis gangeticus (Gharial)
Lineage: Eukaryota; Metazoa; Chordata; Crocodylia; Gavialidae
Exons: 3
Source: RefSeq, a predicted model, not a curated record